AAAACCUAAUACAUACAUAACCUGCUCGUUUAAAGUAUUUUUUUCGUUGAGCAAUAUAACAAGAUUCUGUACAGCUGCACAUUUCCAACCUGUGAGGGACACGCCAGCUGUAUUCAUGACUGUAAACCUUCUGUCCUACCGAGAAACGCGGUAGUAUUGCACCUGUUUUGUGACGAUAAAAUAUCCUAUGCUUCAUGUGUAUAUUUUAUCAGAACAUUUUGUCUACGUUUCCAAAGGAAAGCUCUUAUACUUCGGUUUAUGUGAAGAACCAGAAAGCAAGGUAAAAUCAUGCAGAAAGCCAGUAUCGCAGUUUUUCUUCUCAUUUUAAUAUUGUGUAAUCUCGGUACUUUAUCAGCACAAACGCUAGAAAACUGCACUAACAACGACGUCUGUAGAGAAAAUUGUAUCUACAUCUACAAAAAUACCAUGCGAGGAAUAUGCGACUAUACAAAUACUUGUCUUUGUUUUCCGAUCUGCUGAAACGAUUUUUUUAAACGGAGUCAAUUUCUUGUUUUAAGUCUUUAAUUGUUUAUCCCUAUUCUAAAUUAGAAAUAUUUUUAUGUGAUUCCACCAAGAUGCGACAUCACAUUAUCGAUUGCAAAAAAAAAAAAAAAAUCUAAUGAUUUAGGCUUAGAAUUCAGCCUUGUUUUCAAUACAAUGAACGAAUCCUAGAGUGCAGUCACAUAAAAAAACUUUCUGCUAAGCCUAGUUAACUUUUGUUAUUACUUCUGUAGUUCUAAAAUAUUUCACCCUAUUUCCUUUUUGUUUCUGAAAUCAAUAAAAUCAAAAAGCGAGGCAUUA
Limulus polyphemus (Atlantic horseshoe crab) is the source of this 801-nucleotide long non-coding RNA. RefSeq lists it as uncharacterized. The record is from RefSeq and is a predicted model, not a curated record. Lineage: Eukaryota; Metazoa; Arthropoda; Merostomata; Xiphosura; Limulidae. The transcript has 3 exons.